This 83-nucleotide transfer RNA is filed under the name Felis catus (domestic cat). It matches the Rfam family "tRNA". Rfam says of the family: Transfer RNA (tRNA) molecules are approximately 80 nucleotides in length. RNAcentral also lists the same sequence under 2 other names. Lineage: Eukaryota; Metazoa; Chordata; Mammalia; Carnivora; Felidae. The record is from Rfam by way of RNAcentral.
GCCUGGGUGGCUCAGAUGGUUAAGCAUCUGACUUCAGCUCAGGUCAUGAUCUUGUGGUGUGGAUUCAAGCCCCACAUUGGGCU